AAGGCGUAGACGAUGGAUAUCCGGUCAACAUUCCGGAACUAUUUAGUAGGAGCGAUGGGGCAACGCAGGGUGGUAGACCAGCCUACGAUUGGAUGUAGGUGGAAAUGUGUAGGUGAUGACGUCCGUAGGAAAAUCCGCGGACUGAGCCGAGGCAUGAGUACGAGUCCAUGAGACGGAAGUGGUUGAACCUUGCUGCCAAGAAAAACCUCUAAGUGAUGAAAUCUAAGUACCCGUACCGCAAACCGACACUGGUAGAUAGGUAGAGAAUACCAAGACGAGCGAGAGAACUUUCGUUAAGGAACUCGGCAAAUUAACCCCGUAACUUCGGGAGAAGGGGUGCCCUUCAUCGUGAAAGUAUUACUACUGGAGCGUAGAAGGGUCGCAGUGAACAGGCUCUGGUGACUGGUUACCAAAACCACAGGUCUCUGCUAAGUCGUAAGACGAUGUAUAGGGGCUGACGCCUGCCCAGUGCCGGAAGGUUAAAGGGAAGAGUUAGCUGGUCUUCGGAUCAGCGAAGCUUAGAACUCAAGCCCCGGUGAACGGCGGCCGUAACUAUAACGGUCCUAAGGUAGCGAAAUUCCUUGUCGGGUAAGUUCCGACCCGCACGAAUGGCGUAACAAUCGGAGCACUGUCUCAACGAAAGACUCGGUGAAAUUGAAGUACGCGUAAAGAUGCGCGUUACCCGCAGCAGGACAAAAAGACCCCGUGGAGCUUUACUGUAAGCUGCCAUUGUGUUUGGACAUAGUUUGUGCAGGAUAGGUGGGAGGCUUUGAAGCCGGAGCGCUAGCUUCGGUGGAGCCGCCACUGGAAUACCACCCUUUCUAUGUUUAGGCCCUAACUCUAAUCCGUUAUCCGGAUUGAGGACAGUGUCAGCCGGGCAGUUUGACUGGGGCGGUCGCCUCCGAAAGAGUAACGGAGGCGCCCAAAGGUUCCCUCAGGUUGAAUGGAAACCAACCAUAGAGUGUAAAAGCAUAAGGGAGCUUGACUGCAAGACAUACACGUCGAGCAGGGACGAAAGUCGGGUUUAGUGAUCCCAUGAUACCGUGUGGAAGGGUCAUGGCUUACCGGAUAAAAGCUACCCCGGGGAUAACAGGCUAGUCUGGUCCAAGAGUUCACAUCGACGACCAGGCUCGGCACCUCGAUGUCGGCUCAUCGCAUCCUGGGGCUGGAUAAGGUCCCAAGGGUUGGGCUGUUCGCCCAUUAAAGCGGUACGCGAGCUGGGUUCAGACCGUCGUGAGACAGGUCGGUCUCUAUCCGCUGUGGGCGUAAGGAAUUUGAGAGGAUCUGCUCCUAGUACGAGAGGACCGGAGUGGACAGACCUCUGGUGUGUCAGUUGUUCCGCCAGGAGCAUAGCUGAGUAGCUACGUCUGGCAAAGAUAACCGCUGAAAGCAUCUAAGCGGGAAACUUGCCUCAAGAUUAGAUUCCUCAUCCCGUUAAGGGAGUAAGACCGCAAGAAGACUACUUGCUUGAUAGGCGGCAUGUGUAAGCACAGCAAUGUGUUCAGCU
This 1507-nucleotide ribosomal RNA is filed under the name marine sediment metagenome. Its description in RNAcentral is "bacterial LSU rRNA". It matches the Rfam family "Bacterial large subunit ribosomal RNA", at positions 1406 to 2892 of the family's 2925-position model. The record is from RNAcentral.